GAUGAACGCUGGCGGCGUGCCUAAUACAUGCAAGUCGAGCGAACAGACGAGGAGCUUGCUCCUCUGACGUUAGCGGCGGACGGGUGAGUAACACGUGGAUAACCUACCUAUAAGACUGGGAUAACUUCGGGAAACCGGAGCUAAUACCGGAUAAUAUAUUGAACCGCAGGGUUCAAUAGUGAAAGACGGUUUUGCUGUCACUUAUAGAUGGAUCCGCGCCGGAUUAGCUAGUUGGUAAGGUAACGGCUUACCAAGGCGACGAUGCGUAGCCGACCUGAGAGGGUGAUCGGCCACACUGGAACUGAGACACGGUCCAGACUCCUACGGGAGGCAGCAGUGGGGAAUCUUCCGCAAUGGGCGAAAGCCUGACGGAGCAACGCCGCGUGAGUGAUGAAGGUCUUCGGAUCGUAAAGCUCUUUUAUUGGGAAAGAAAAAAUGUAUAAGUAACUAUGCACGUCUUGACGGUACCUAAUCAGAAAGCCCCGGCUAACUUCGUG
This 497-nucleotide ribosomal RNA is filed under the name uncultured bacterium. Its description in RNAcentral is "partial 16S ribosomal RNA". It matches the Rfam family "Bacterial small subunit ribosomal RNA", at positions 28 to 507 of the family's 1533-position model. The record is from RNAcentral.